AGGUAGUAAUUUUUAUUAAAACCUAAUUAAUAAUGGCGGCUUAAGUCUCAUUAGAGGAACUUGUUUUUUAAUCGACAAUCCACGAUUAAUUUCACUUUAAAUAUAAAUUUAUAUAUCGCCGUCUAAAGAAAUUUUAUUAAAAAUUUCUCAAAAAAAAAUAUAAAAAGUUAGGUCAAGGUGUAGUUAAUAUUAAAGUUUAUAAUGAGUUACAUUAAAAUUUAUUUAAGGAAAUUUUUUCAAAUCCAAAUAGAAAAAGGAUUUAACUGCAAUAAUUUAAUAUUAUUUUUUUAUGAAUAAAUUAACUAAAGUGC
This 311-nucleotide ribosomal RNA is filed under the name Pelegrina aeneola. RNAcentral's name for it is "partial 12S ribosomal RNA". The record is from RNAcentral. Lineage: Eukaryota; Metazoa; Arthropoda; Arachnida; Araneae; Salticidae.